GCUGGGUGCGGUAGUGUCCACCUGUAAUCCCAGCAGCUCGGGAGGCUGAGACAGGAGGAUCAGGAGUUCAAAGUCAGCUUCAGCAAAAGCUAAGCAACUCAGUGAGACCCUGUCUCUA
RNAcentral lists this small RNA (118 nucleotides) under Marmota monax (woodchuck). The record is from RNAcentral. Lineage: Eukaryota; Metazoa; Chordata; Mammalia; Rodentia; Sciuridae.